RNAcentral lists this ribosomal RNA (584 nucleotides) under uncultured bacterium. Its description in RNAcentral is "bacterial SSU rRNA". It matches the Rfam family "Bacterial small subunit ribosomal RNA", at positions 338 to 916 of the family's 1533-position model. The record is from RNAcentral.
CCUACGGGAGGCAGCAGUGGGGAAUUUUGGACAAUGGGCGAAAGCCUGAUCCAGCAAUGCCGCGUGCAGGAAGAAGGCCUUCGGGUUGUAAACUGCUUUUGUACGGAACGAAACGGUCCGCUUUAAUACAGUGGGCUAAUGACGGUACCGUAAGAAUAAGCACCGGCUAACUACGUGCCAGCAGCCGCGGUAAUACGUAGGGUGCGAGCGUUAAUCGGAAUUACUGGGCGUAAAGCGUGCGCAGGCGGUUAUGUAAGACAGAUGUGAAAUCCCCGGGCUCAACCUGGGAAUUGCGUCUGUGACUGCAUAGCUAGAGUACGGUAGAGGGGGAUGGAAUUCCGCGUGUAGCAGUGAAAUGCGUAGAUAUGCGGAGGAACACCGAUGGCGAAGGCAAUCCCCUGGACCUGUACUGACGCUCAUGCACGAAAGCGUGGGGAGCAAACAGGAUUAGAUACCCUGGUAGUCCACGCCCUAAACGAUGUCAACUGGUUGUUGGGUGCAUUAGUACUCAGUAACGAAGCUAACGCGUGAAGUUGACCGCCUGGGGAGUACGGCCGCAAGGUUGAAACUUAAGGAAUUGACGG